Molecule: ribosomal RNA, 730 nt
Filed under: Jiangella sp. 11458
Lineage: Bacteria; Bacillati; Actinomycetota; Actinomycetes; Jiangellales; Jiangellaceae
Description: bacterial SSU rRNA
Rfam family: Bacterial small subunit ribosomal RNA
Source: RNAcentral
UGCAAGUCGAGCGGAAGGCCCUUCGGGGUACUCGAGCGGCGAACGGGUGAGUAACACGUGGGUAACCUGCCUUCAGCUCUGGGAUAAGCCUGGGAAACUGGGUCUAAUACCGGAUACGACACGCGACCGCAUGGUUGUGUGUGGAAAGUUUUUCGGCUGGAGAUGGACUCGCGGCCUAUCAGCUUGUUGGUGGGGUAGUGGCCUACCAAGGCGAUGACGGGUAGCCGGCCUGAGAGGGCGACCGGCCACACUGGGACUGAGACACGGCCCAGACUCCUACGGGAGGCAGCAGUGGGGAAUAUUGCGCAAUGGGCGGAAGCCUGACGCAGCAACGCCGCGUGAGGGAUGACGGCCUUCGGGUUGUAAACCUCUUUCAGCGCUGACGAAGCCUUCGGGUGACGGUAGGCGCAGAAGAAGCACCGGCUAACUACGUGCCAGCAGCCGCGGUAAUACGUAGGGUGCGAGCGUUGUCCGGAAUUAUUGGGCGUAAAGGGCUCGUAGGCGGUUUGUCACGUCUGCUGUGAAAGCCCGGGGCUUAACCCCGGGUCUGCAGUGGAUACGGGCAGGCUAGAGUCCGGCAGGGGAGACUGGAAUUCCUGGUGUAGCGGUGGAAUGCGCAGAUAUCAGGAGGAACACCGGUGGCGAAGGCGGGUCUCUGGGCCGGUACUGACGCUGAGGAGCGAAAGCGUGGGGAGCGAACAGGAUUAGAUACCCUGGUAGUCCACGCCGU